CGUGCUCGACUGAAUUUCCCCACUAAAACAACGCUAAUGAACAUCAUUCAGGCAAUGUCACAGUAAAACCGCUACAAGUUACUCCGAUGCAACCUUUUAAACCAGUAUUAAGACCACGCCAGGCUUUAAUUCUCCUCUCCACUCCCCUCAUUUUCUCCCUCAAUACAGCCCGUCAAUGUACAAAGUGAACAGCGGGAGCCCCGGUGGCAGCAGCCCCGUCCUAUCAGGGCCUGGGCAUCACUACAGCGAGGCAUCUCUGUGCACAGCGAGCAGAAGGGGAGAUUACUCUGUGCUCACAUCAAAGGAGGUUUGUCUAACUUGGGUCUGGCGUUGUGUGCUGGUAGAGCGGGUCCUUGGAGCAGCCUCGCCGUCCUUAUCUCUCCCCCACAGACUCCCUCUGCCUUUCUGCUGCAACACAACUAGCUGCUGGUAACACUGACGCAUGCAGUGGAGGCUCUGCACGGUCAAAUGUGCACAUAGAUGAACACAAGUGCACGUUCUCUCGUAUGAAAACACACACGUACACAAUGAAAAACACACAACAUUGAGGCAGCUCUUUUUUUCUCCUGAUAUUAGCAGAAUUUGUUCUGCUGAGUGAGUCUCUCUCCCCCUCUCUCUCUCUCUCUCUCUCUCCUGCAGUCUCUGCAGAGAGCUGAACCUGGUUCAGUGAAUAUUUGAAAUUGGUUAAAUGAUUAUCCCUGGACAGAUGGCUCCCAGAGGAACCCACUAUACUUGGAUUUGAGGUAAAACACUUCAAAAAACUCAUAGCAAUAACCACUAUAGACGACAAAUGUGUAGCUAGAAAAAUAUAAACAAACUGUUUCCUCCGAUAAGCAGGACGGCUUUUCUGCUGUGUCAUUGCUUGAACAAUUAAAGCCCCAUAUCAAAAGUAACCUGAAGCACAGCAGUGCUGUAAGCCAAAUGCUAAUGUCAGCAUGCUUUCCUUUUCCCAGCGUCAGUGGUAAAUGUUUAGGUACAGGAAAUCUUUACCAUCUUAGUUAUGUGUUUCAUCCACUGAGUGUAUAUAAAAGGAGGGUCAAGCCUCUGGGUUUUUGUACUCAGUGUAGAAGUACCUUAAACCUACAUUCUUUACUGCCACCAGAAGGAGACUUCAAUUGAUUGCAAAGAAAGGACUGCUCGCCUGGAAUCAGAUGGGGAAAGGACCCCUAUACUUCUCAGCUGAUUUAUUACCUUGGUUAACAAUUUCUGUAUGAGUUCAUGACUUCAAUCACGAGUAUCUGAUAAAGCGGGGUAAUCACCUGAUGAAUCACAGAAAGAUGUAUUAGGCUUUACAUGUCUCACAACAACAAUAACAUCACAAAGCAGUGGUACUGUGAUAUUUUACUAAUGUAACGUAGUGCCAUCAAACAAUAACGUCACAAUAUCUAAUAAAGUACUGAGUAUGUAGCACCCGGUCAAAAGGUAAAUUGUUCACUGUCUUUUAGUUUGUUUUGACUGAUUUUUUACAGCUUGUUUUUGGUCUUUAUAUUAAAUUUACAUAAUAAUACACUAACUGAGCCAAGUGUUAGUUCAGCCAGGCAACAAACUCAAGCUCAGCCCACAGUUCACCAUCCCAUUAUAAGCUGACAGCUCAGCUGAUUACCUCAGUCACAACCAAAGGAAAAUAUCAAAAUGGCUGUUGUGUUUAAAUCACUUUAGUCUACAUACUCUUCUCGCUUCCUUCGCAAAUCUCUUUGCAUCAACAGCUGCCUCAGCCCCAGCAGAAGCCUUGUACUCUGCAGGUCUUUGCUGCUGCUCUCCCUGCCUUGGGGAGGGUGUGAGUGUUGUCCCUGCCUCAGGAUUUGGUGUACCCAUAGACUGUUUAAAGAAUGGGCCCAAUCUCCAACCACAAGAACAGCACCCUCUGGUGACGGGCUGCAGUAUAGGUCAUUAAUCCCACCUCCUCCAGCAAAGCUUAUGGAGCUGUGGACAAACUUUAGAGAUUUAUCACACAGAAUAUAAUUUUUUUCUCCCCCCUGGUUUUGAUUUUGACAUGUAGUUACAGUCAGACUGGUUUGUGCUCAAGUCCUCUUUUUUCUGUACAGCUCCAUUUUUAAAAGUUAUGUGGGGGUUCAUGUUUUCUAUGAUUAACACUUGAUAAAGCCUAUGGGCGUAUGAAGACUGUGUCGCUCAUCAGGGGGAUACGCUGUUUAAACCGCGCGUCACCGCAGCGACAUUCCAGCCAAUGGGUACAACGCUACUGCGCAAGUGGUGGUUCCAAGAAAUGGAGAAAAUCCUGGAAAUACCGAGAGCAAUUUAGCUUCAAACUCGUGUAAUGACAGAAGGCAGAGCCAAGUUGUCCAUAGUAUAUACAACGUAUGGGUUUACCACAUGUAUAUAUGUUGAAGGGCAGGCCACUCUCCUGUCAGAGCCAAACCACCACCAAUAUAACUCGUGUGAAAAUAACCAGUACUCUUCAUAAUCAAUACUCUUUUGACAAAAGUGGUCCUGACUGAACUAGAUGACAACAGAAAAGUUCAUAAACAUCUUUAUAAAGACGACACUUCAGUGUUUGAUGAACAUAUCCAGCUUGUAUGUCAGUGUCAAGAUUUUCUUCCAACCUGAAUAACUAGACCUGUUGCAGCUACAGCCACAUUCACCCAAAUGUUUUUUUAAUAGAGAUUAUUGAAAUAUAUAAUUGUUUUCAGAGGUAAGCUGCUUUGAACCAAAGGCUACUUUAACUCUCGACAUAUGGUCUGUUUUUCCUCGAACAACCAAAAGCCUACUACUCAAAAAAAACAAGAAGAGACCAGAAUAGUUUCCCUCGCCUCAAAACUCUGCAUCGCAGUGCUGAUGCCAGUUUGGCAAGAGUUGUAAAAAUAUUGAGCGAACUGAAGGUUUGACCUGAAAAUAUUGCUGUAUAACAGGUCAGGGACUCACCCAGGUUUUUUACAGGUCAUCCUAUUGAGGACAUGAAGGUGUGGAACAAAUUUGCUGGCAAAAUUUCCAACAGUUGUCCAGACGUUUCAUAAGAAGCAGAAGAGGUACUGACAUCUCUCUAAAAAGUGAAAAAAAAGACAGAUUUUCUAAAAAUACAGCCCUCCUCCUGCAGCUCUUCCCCUCUCUGUUACCCCAGCCCACCCACUCUUCAUCUCAGCCCAGCAGCCACAAUGCUGAUAUGCUCAAUAAAGAUGUUUUAUUUUCCUCUGCCCACUGCAAAGGCUUUUUUUUCUCCUCAUGCAUUUUAUUCACAAUGAAAAAAUCUUUUAAAGGUAUCUUCACAUGGAGAAGUAAUUUGCAGGAUGAGGUUGCUAAAGCUGGGCUGAUGCUGGGAUGUUCUACCAAUGGCUUCAAAUAUUAAUCAAUCAUGCUGUACACAAUGAGGCUAAUCUGACCACAAUGCAUCAUGCACCACACUUUUACUGUAUGACACAUACAUAGGUCUUCACAUUAUGUGCAAAGAUAUCUAAUCAGUUUUGGAUAUAACUCUAUGAUGUGGGGCAGCUGAAAUGAUCCUCUGUGCUUUCUGUCAGACAUAUUCAAGUUUGUUGAGUCUCAUUUUCCGGUCAAAUCAAGACAAAAAUAUAAAAAUGAGAGGGAAAGGAUUCUGAUUCGACAGCAAGACUAAGUCUAAAACUGAUUAACUGGAUACCAGUAAAACAUUAACCCAGUUCUGCCUGCUGGAAAAAUCAGCUUUUCCUUUAGACCUGCAUAUCAGACACACAGUGCCCCCUUGUGGUGAAACUUUUCUAUUACAGCUACAGCACAGGACUCACAGUAGGAACCUUUGAGUCUGGUUAAAAGGUUGAAAAGAGGACUAAUAAAGCGGACUUCUUUAAACACACAGCAUGCUUAUUUUGGUCGGGUCCAAACACACCCUGCACUAAUACUACGAUGGCAUCUGCCCCAGCUUUCGCAUGCUUUCACACUUAGAUGAAUUAUGAAUGAAAUGUUUGUCCUCUGCUCUAUUUGUCCAUGAGAUCGAGCGUCGCCCAAGUUAAAUAAAUCACUGGAACCUUCAUUCACAAAUAUCAGCCGGCUCCCAUCAAAUAAACUUUGUCCUUGGCAUCAUUUCAACAUCUCCGUCCCUGUUUUGAUUCCAAAAGU
Non-coding RNA from Xyrichtys novacula (pearly razorfish), 4047 nucleotides. The record is from the annotation of a GenBank genome assembly. NCBI's taxonomy places the organism in Eukaryota, Metazoa, Chordata, Actinopteri, Labriformes, Labridae.